This is a long non-coding RNA of Xiphophorus couchianus (Monterrey platyfish), 419 nucleotides long. RefSeq lists it as uncharacterized. The transcript has 3 exons. NCBI's taxonomy places the organism in Eukaryota, Metazoa, Chordata, Actinopteri, Cyprinodontiformes, Poeciliidae. The record is from RefSeq and is a predicted model, not a curated record.
GGGUCUCUAGUUUCUCCACCAGGGGGCAUCCUGGGACCUUCCGGAGGGCGUGAACCUGGAGCGGCACACCUGCUGCCACUUACCAUUGAUUGGAGGGGUUUAUCAGGACGGAGCCGCCGACACUCCAGUGCCAGAGUGUUAGCCUGUGAUGAUUGUUUCCGUGAAGCCCUGAGUAUCUCCGAACUUCUACGAACCGGAUCCCUUCCGGCACCUGUCAGAGAUCUCCCUCCAUCCACCUGUCCGCCCUCUAGAGAAACUCACGCCCUCGUUCCAGCUUGCAGCUCCGGAUCCUAGCGGUUCACCUCUCCGUGCCCUGACGAGCUCACCGGCAAAAAUCCAGAACCACACAGACGAGCACCAGUUCCGGACCACCUUUGUACAUACCUGUUUGCACAGUAUUUAAUAAAUCACCUUUACCG